UUAAUUGCCACUGCAGCAUCAUCAAGAUUCUCAUAUAACUGAUUAAUGGGCCAUGCUCAUGAAACCCUAGAACAGUUAUGUGAAUCUUGAUGGUGCAGCAACAGCAAAAAC
RNAcentral lists this microRNA precursor (111 nucleotides) under Olea europaea subsp. europaea. Lineage: Eukaryota; Viridiplantae; Streptophyta; Magnoliopsida; Lamiales; Oleaceae. The record is from RNAcentral.